AAGCGGAGGAAAAGAAACCAACAGGGAUUGCCCUAGUAACGGCGAGUGAAGCGGCAACAGCUCAAAUUUGAAAUCUGGCCUCGGCCCGAGUUGUAAUUUGCAGAGGAUGCUUCUGGCGCGGUGCCUUCCGAGUUCCCUGGAACGGGACGCCACAGAGGGUGAGAGCCCCGUAUGGUCGGACACCAAGCCUGUGUGAAGCUCCUUCGACGAGUCGAGUAGUUUGGGAAUGCUGCUCUAAAUGGGAGGUAAAUCUCUUCUAAAGCUAAAUACCGGCCAGAGACCGAUAGCGCACAAGUAGAGUGAUCGAAAGAUGAAAAGCACCUUGAAAAGGGGGUUAAAUAGUACGUGAAAUUGUUGAAAGGGAAGCACUUGUGACCAGACUUGGGCCGGGCGGCUCAUCAGGGGUUCUCCCCUGUGCACUCCGCCCGGCACAGGCCAGCAUCGGUUCUCGUGGGGGGAUAAGACCGUCAGGAACGUAGCACCCUCCGGGGUGUGUUAUAGCCUGGCGGACGAUACCCCCGUGGGGACCGAGGUUCGCGCUCCGCAAGGAUGCUGGCGUAAUGGUCACCAGUGACCCGUCUU
RNAcentral lists this ribosomal RNA (582 nucleotides) under Diaporthe bougainvilleicola. RNAcentral describes it as "Phomopsis bougainvilleicola partial large subunit ribosomal RNA". It matches the Rfam family "Eukaryotic large subunit ribosomal RNA", at positions 48 to 655 of the family's 3401-position model. Lineage: Eukaryota; Fungi; Ascomycota; Sordariomycetes; Diaporthales; Diaporthaceae. The record is from RNAcentral.